This 617-nucleotide ribosomal RNA is filed under the name uncultured cyanobacterium. RNAcentral's name for it is "bacterial SSU rRNA". It matches the Rfam family "Bacterial small subunit ribosomal RNA", at positions 122 to 771 of the family's 1533-position model. The record is from RNAcentral. Lineage: Bacteria; Bacillati; Cyanobacteriota.
GAAUCUAGCUUCAGGUCUGGGACAACCACUGGAAACGGUGGCUAAUACCGGAUGUGCCGGAAGGUGAAAGGCUUGCUGCCUGAAGAUGAGCUCGCGUCUGAUUAGCUAGUUGGUGGGGUAAAAGCCUACCAAGGCGACGAUCAGUAGCUGGUCUGAGAGGAUGACCAGCAACACUGGGACUGAGACACGGCCCAGACUCCUACGGGAGGCAGCAGUGGGGAAUUUUCCGCAAUGGGCGAAAGCCUGACGGAGCAAUACCGCGUGAGGGAGGAAGGCUCUUGGGUUGUAAACCUCUUUUCUCAGGGAAGAACACAAUGACGGUACCUGAGGAAUCAGCAUCGGCUAACUCCGUGCCAGCAGCCGCGGUAAUACGGAGGAUGCAAGCGUUAUCCGGAAUGAUUGGGCGUAAAGCGUCCGCAGGUGGCUGUGUAAGUCUGCUGUCAAAGAGCGAGGCUCAACUUCGUAAAGGCAGUGGAAACUACACGGCUAGAGUGCGUUCGGGGCAGAGGGAAUUCCUGGUGUAGCGGUGAAAUGCGUAGAGAUCAGGAAGAACACCGGUGGCGAAGGCGCUCUGCUAGGCCGCAACUGACACUGAGGGACGAAAGCUAGGGGAGCGA